This 389-nucleotide ribosomal RNA is filed under the name Aphidius ribis. RNAcentral describes it as "partial 16S ribosomal RNA". Lineage: Eukaryota; Metazoa; Arthropoda; Insecta; Hymenoptera; Braconidae. The record is from RNAcentral.
AAAACAUGUCUUACUGAUAAUAAUUUUAAGUCUAAUCUGCCCAAUGAAAAUUAAAUGGCUGCAGUAUCAAUAACUGUACAAAGGUAGCAUAAUAAUUAGUUUUUUAAUUGAAAACUAGAAUGAAAGAUUAAAUGAAAUAUAAACUUUAUAAAUUAAAUAAAAAUUUAAAUUAAAUUUUAAGUUAAAAUUCUUAAAUAUAAUUAAAAGACGAGAAGACCCUUUAGAAUUUAAUACUAAAUAUAAUUAAAUUUAUAAUAAUUUUAAUAUAAAUUAAUAUUUAAUAUUUAAUUGGGGUAAUUUUAUAAUUUAAUAAACUUUUAAAUAACUAUUACAUUAAUUAAUGAAUAAAUAAUCCUAAUUUUUAGUAUUUUAAAAUAAAUUACCUUAGG